Molecule: non-coding RNA, 37 nt
Filed under: Plasmodium falciparum 3D7
Lineage: Eukaryota; Apicomplexa; Aconoidasida; Haemosporida; Plasmodiidae
Source: RNAcentral
CCUUUUACUCUUUUCACUUAAUUUAAGAGGUUGCGUG